This is a long non-coding RNA of Mauremys reevesii (Reeves's turtle), 407 nucleotides long. RefSeq lists it as uncharacterized. The transcript has 4 exons. The record is from RefSeq and is a predicted model, not a curated record. Lineage: Eukaryota; Metazoa; Chordata; Testudines; Geoemydidae.
GAUAUUGAGAGUAAUUUCAGCCUUUGUACAAAUAGGAUAACUAAAAGGCCUAGACAAGUGGUGAAGAUAGCUAUUCAUAGUGUUAUGCAUCUUCAAGGAUAACAGAUGAUUAUUUUUACCUCACUAUGAGGGACAUCUUUGUGAGCUCUGAACACUUUUACAGCUGUUGGGAUGCUAAUGGGAACUUCAUGUGUACCCAGCACAAGUGCUCUCAAGAAGAAAACAAAUGUCAAACUGAGAUGCCAGUGAAAUUAAUAGUCAUUAAAUGAAAGUGACACUGCUGAAAAUGAAUCCUCCUCCUUCUCCCAAAAGCUAAGUAGCUCUUCUUUUGCUUGCAACUCACACUUGCAGAAGACCACACAGCUCCAGCAAGGCAGCCUCCGUUCCCUAAUCCCCACUCGAAUGUG